This 254-nucleotide ribosomal RNA is filed under the name uncultured prokaryote. RNAcentral describes it as "partial 16S ribosomal RNA". It matches the Rfam family "Bacterial small subunit ribosomal RNA", at positions 525 to 777 of the family's 1533-position model. The record is from RNAcentral.
ACGGAGGGUGCGAGCGUUGUCUGGAAUCAUUGGGCGUAAAGGGCGCGUAGGUGGCCCGGUCAGUCUUUGGUGAAAGCGCGGGGCUCAACCCUGCGUCGGCCAGGGAUACUGCCGCGGCUGGAGCACUGUAGAGGCAGGCGGAAUUCCGGGUGUAGCGGUGGAAUGCGUAGAGAUCCGGAAGAACACCGGUGGCGAAGGCGGCAUCCUGGACCGGCAUUGACGCUGCGGCGCGAAAGCCAGGGGAGCAAACGGGA